AUUGCUUUAACUGAUAAUGCACUUUGAAAAGGUGAGCUGCUAUCGACUUGAAGUAUCCAAGUGUCAAAAUAGAAAACCGGGGGAAUGUAGAGGAGUUAUUUACUGUCAAUAGUGAUAUUUAUUUGCCGAGGAUUUGAUAUUAUCCAAAAAUCCUUGAUUUAACCUAAUGAGGAUGAUGAAUAAUCAGUUGGAUAAUGAUGAGGGGCAGAUGGUGAGUUUCGACUCAGCCACCCUGAGGAUCGCCAAGGAAAACGACGAUUCAGACAACAAAGACACGUAUGCUCGUGGAUCAUCAACCGAUGCACCCAGACCAUCAGCCACGAAUGUCGCAAGUAUUCCCUUUCGACAUGUGGACACCCAUUCGUUUUUUUCUGACAGAAAUGAAGUCGUCGAGAGAGCUGUCAAGGAAUGUCAGGAGACUCUGCUGACAGACCAGAAUGAUGAGGUCGUUGGCACCUGGUUGUUGACAGAGAUAAGCCUGUGGGAUACCGAGAAGGAGAGGAUUGUAAUAUUGACGAAGAAUUCAAUAUUAACAAUAAAAUACGACUUUAUAUCGCUGAAAGUUAUAGCUUUUCACAGAAUUCCUCUGGGGGAUGUCGACACCGUGGCCUAUGGCGAGCUGGAGUAUCCAGCUGCUUCAGUUGCUCCGCGACUAAAUGGAUUUGCUGAUGGAUUAUCUUCGGUGAUUCAGUGCGCGAUACGUCAGCAGUGGUCAUCGAUUACCGAAAGAUCUGAUAUUCAUUUUGAGCCAAGAAAGCGUAAUAUGAAUGGAGUGAGGAUAAUGUGGAACAAGGGGAAGCCCUUGUCAUUCGAAAAGAAGUGGAAUCCCUUUGGUAAACGUAUCCCCUGGCUCACAUUCGCCAAUCACCCUCUUUACUGGCAUAAAGGAUCAAAUGAAGAAAUAUCGAGAUUCGACGCAGACGCCCUGCACUCAGCCCUAACGACAAUUCUCUCCGACUCCUGUAAUUUCGUGAAUCAACCCCUCAUCGUGGAGAACUACCUGGGGCUCGGUGCAUUGAUCCACAACAGGAAUUCCCUGGGAUUCUUCAAAUUAAAAAUGUGCACUUUACAGCGUUUGACAUGUCUGGACACGACCGAUACCGAUCCCUCUGGGAGCAUUACUACAGGGAUUGUCAGGGGAUUAUUUUUAUCAUUGACAGCAGUGAUAAACUGAGACUGGUGGUGGCUAAAGAGGAGCUGGACAUGCUGCUACAGCAUCCUGAUGUGGCCAGCAGAAAAAUUCCAAUUCUCUUCUUAGCGAAUAAAAUGGAUCUGCCGGACUCUCUGACGACGGUGAAGCUCGUGGCAGGUCUGGGACUCGAC
RNA transcript from Fopius arisanus, 1323 nucleotides. It is a transcript of the gene named tumor protein p63-regulated gene 1-like protein, with no coding region annotated. The transcript has 8 exons. Lineage: Eukaryota; Metazoa; Arthropoda; Insecta; Hymenoptera; Braconidae. The record is from RefSeq and is a predicted model, not a curated record.